This 2049-nucleotide long non-coding RNA is filed under the name Marmota monax (woodchuck). Lineage: Eukaryota; Metazoa; Chordata; Mammalia; Rodentia; Sciuridae. The record is from RNAcentral.
CCAACUCCUGGAGAGGGGCCCAUAGCACACGAGUUACACCUACAUACUAUAUAUAAGCUCUACGUAAAGGGAGAGGUCAAGAGAAGGGACUCGGAAAGGCAAGUGACUAGACAUGGACGCAGGUGUUCGUUCACUUUUCCAUUCAUCUUUCCACAAGGGCUUAUUACGCACCUGCUGUGUGGCAGGUGCUGACACACAGGAAGGCACUGGGGAAGGGGCAUAAAGGCAGGCGCAGAGAGUUACUCGUUCAUUCAUUACUGGCAAUGUGUGUGCUUAACUGCCAGGCAUUGUGCUGAAUGCUGAGCAUACAGAGGGAGGAAAACAGACAGGGUCCGAGGUCCGGGACAUCUUCAGAGUUGCAUCUUGCACAUGAGACAGACAUUAAUCCGAGAAUUAUGUACACAUACAAGAGAUUACAGUUAGGAUGUAGGAGAAACCCGAGAUCCUCCAAAAUGCUCUGUGAGGGAGGGGGCUAACCCAGUUUAAGUUUUAGUAGACACUGAAAGGAUGACAAGGAGACAGCCCAGUGGAGCUGGGGCCAUGUGUCCCAGGAAGAGAACAGCAUAUGCCAAGGCCCUAGGGCAGAAAGGAGCUUGCACAGUAUGCUGAAGUGUAGUGAGCCGGGUGGACAGAGGAGCCUGGAGACAGGACCAGAUUGUGCAGGGACUUGUAGGUUGGGUUUUAUUCUUAGGGGGCUGUGGAUGGCUUUAAGCAGGAGCACAGCAUGAAUGGUGCAUAAAGGAAAGGCAGGAGCCUAGCCGAGUAUGGAGCAGAGGCAACUAAAAUACUGCAUCACACAGUCACUGGUCCUCCAGGCUUGCACUGGUGGCAGAGAGCACGCAGUCACACAUGCUGCAGCACAGGCAUGGUGUCGUGUGCAGGAGAAUCAGACAGCAAUCCAGGUUUCACUAUUUUCUCCAGCCGCUGGCAUUCAGGUGCAUGUGCUCUGGUCCCAGGCAGGAAGUUAGGGACCCCAGAGGUGCAAAAACCCCCUCACUCUUCCCCAGGAGCUGAGCACUGUCAGGACGCACAACCCAGGCAGGGAAGUGGGCGUGGUGACUGGGACCACGAUGGGCCCCAUGGAACACGGAGGACAGUGGCCAGGUGUGGGCAGGGAAGACUCCCUGGAAUGUGAUGCCCAGUCUGGGUCUUCAAAGAAGCACGUGUCUCCUAGGUGAUGAAGGGGACAAGGAAGUCUUUCUGGGCAAGAACAGUUGGGGCAGAAACCCAGGGAAGAGGAGCAGCAUGAUGUUUUGGGAAAGUGCUGACACCUCCGGGAUGCUGAAAUCCAGGGUGGAGGAAGAGGUCAGGCAGGGAAGUAUCUCUAAGCCAGGGUCUAGCAGUGCCUGAGUCGCAGACCAGCCGGAGGCUUCCUAAGGGCAGUGGAGAGGAUGACAGUUGAGGGGGGUAAAGGAAGUGGGUGUGCCGAGGAAGGGAUGGAGUUGAAGGUCACCGAGAAGGCAGGGUGCUUCAUUUCCCUUCAUUUGCUCAGCAAGUAUUUCCUGUGAUGCUGGGUGCAGGGGACUUCCCAUCCCGUCCUGUGCUCCGGGGGCUCCCAGUCUGGUGGGGAGAGAGACAGGGCUCAGCUGCACAAGGCAGGACCUGGUUAGUGAGGUACCAUGAGGUCAGGGUUACCUUGGGAAUAGGAGACAUCAGAAGGGGGACCGAUGAGGGAGGGGAUCAGAGUGGGCAUUAGAAAUUUGCUUUGGGGCCUGUGUGGAAGGGUUAGAAAUGGGGGCAGGGGAGGCUGGAGUGGGCGAGCCUGGGAGGAAUUCUGUGAUGGUGGUUUCAGGAAGGAGAUGCUGGAAAAUGUAGAGAGGAUACGAGUCAGUCAGACUAGAUAGGACUUAGUCUGAUGCAUGGAGAGAAGAGGGACAGGGAGGUGAGAGAAGAGGGGCGGGGAGGUGAGAAGAGGUCCAGGGAGAGGUGCAUUCAAGGGGACGAUUGAUGGGGAGGACAGAACUGGCUAGGGCGUGAUGGAUUCUGCAAUCCAAAGGCCAAACAGCAAGAAAGGUGGAGGGUGGGCUGCAGGAAAAGUGAGAUGGGGGG